AAUCCAUAGGUUAAUGAGGCGAACCGGGGGAACUGAAACAUCUAAGUACCCCGAGGAAAAGAAAUCAACCGAGAUUCCCCCAGUAGCGGCGAGCGAACGGGGAGGAGCCCAGAGCCUGAAUCAGCAUGUGUGUUAGUGGAAGCGUCUGGAAAGGCGCGCGAUACAGGGUGACAGCCCCGUACACAAAAGCGCAUGUGCUGUGAGCUCGAUGAGUAGGGCGGGACACGUGGUAUCCUGUCUGAAUAUGGGGGGACCAUCCUCCAAGGCUAAAUACUCCUGACUGACCGAUAGUGAACCAGUACCGUGAGGGAAAGGCGAAAAGAACCCCGGCGAGGGGAGUGAAAAAGAACCUGAAACCGUGUACGUACAAGCAGUGGGAGCACCCUUCGGGGUGUGACUGCGUACCUUUUGUAUAAUGGGUCAGCGACUUAUAUUCUGUAGCAAGGUUAACCGUAUAGGGGAGCCGGAGGGAAACCGAGUCUUAAUUGGGCGUUAAGUUGCAGGGUAUAGACCCGAAACCCGGUGAUCUAGCCAUGGGCAGGUUGAAGGUUGGGUAACACUAACUGGAGGACCGAACCGACUAAUGUUGAAAAAUUAGCGGAUGACCUGUGGCUGGGGGUGAAAGGCCAAUCAAACCGGGAGAUAGCUGGUUCUCCCCGAAAGCUAUUUAGGUAGCGCCUCGUGAAUUCAUCUCCGGGGGUAGAGCACUGUUUCGGCUAGGGGGCCAUCCCGGCUUACCAACCCGAUGCAAACUGCGAAUACCGGAGAAUGUUAUCACGGGAGACACACGGCGGGUGCUAACGUCCGUCGUGAAGAGGGAAACAACCCAGACCGCCAGCUAAGGUCCCAAAGUCAUGGUUAAGUGGGAAACGAUGUGGGAAGGCCCAGACAGCCAGGAUGUUGGCUUAGAAGCAGCCAUCAUUUAAAGAAAGCGUAAUAGCUCACUGGUCGAGUCGGCCUGCGCGGAAGAUGUAACGGGGCUAAACCAUGCACCGAAGCUGCGGCAGCGAACGUAUCACCCAAGACAACUUUACGGAGUUGACGAUUGACGGAGCGAAGCGACGUCAAAGCGUUCAUUAAAGUCGAGUUGGCUUAGGGAUACGUUCGUUGGGUAGGGGAGCGUUCUGUAAGCCUGUGAAGGUGUGUCGUGAGGCAUGCUGGAGGUAUCAGAAGUGCGAAUGCUGACAUAAGUAACGAUAAAGCGGGUGAAAAGCCCGCUCGCCGGAAGACCAAGGGUUCCUGUCCAACGUUAAUCGGGGCAGGGUGAGUCGACCCCUAAGGCGAGGCCGAAAGGCGUAGUCGAUGGGAAACGGGUUAAUAUUCCCGUACUUGGUGUUACUGCGAAGGGGGGACGGAGAAGGCUAUGUUGGCCGGGCGACGGUUGUCCCGGUUUAAGCGUGUAGGUGUGUGUUCCAGGUAAAUCCGGUUCACUUUAACACUGAGGCGUGACGACGAGGCACUACGGUGCUGAAGCAACAAAUGCCCUGCUUCCAGGAAAAGCCUCUAAGCAUCAGGUAACAUCAAAUCGUACCCCAAACCGACACAGGUGGUCAGGUAGAGAAUACCAAGGCGCUUGAGAGAACUCGGGUGAAGGAACUAGGCAAAAUGGUGCCGUAACUUCGGGAGAAGGCACGCUGACACGUAGGUGAAGUGAUUUACUCAUGGAGCUGAAGUCAGUCGAAGAUACCAGCUGGCUGCAACUGUUUAUUAAAAACACAGCACUGUGCAAACACGAAAGUGGACGUAUACGGUGUGACGCCUGCCCGGUGCCGGAAGGUUAAUUGAUGGGGUCAGCGCAAGCGAAGCUCCUGAUCGAAGCCCCGGUAAACGGCGGCCGUAACUAUAACGGUCCUAAGGUAGCGAAAUUCCUUGUCGGGUAAGUUCCGACCUGCACGAAUGGCGUAAUGAUGGCCAGGCUGUCUCCACCCGAGACUCAGUGAAAUUGAACUCGCUGUGAAGAUGCAGUGUACCCGCGGCAAGACGGAAAGACCCCGUGAACCUUUACUAUAGCUUGACACUGAACAUUGAGCCUUGAUGUGUAGGAUAGGUGGGAGGCUUUGAAGUGUGGACGCCAGUCUGCAUGGAGCCGACCUUGAAAUACCACCCUUUAAUGUUUGAUGUUCUAACGUGGACCCGUAAUCCGGGUUGCGGACAGUGUCUGGUGGGUAGUUUGACUGGGGCGGUCUCCUCCUAAAGAGUAACGGAGGAGCACGAAGGUUGGCUAAUCCUGGUCGGACAUCAGGAGGUUAGUGCAAUGGCAUAAGCCAGCUUGACUGCGAGCGUGACGGCGCGAGCAGGUGCGAAAGCAGGUCAUAGUGAUCCGGUGGUUCUGAAUGGAAGGGCCAUCGCUCAACGGAUAAAAGGUACUCCGGGGAUAACAGGCUGAUACCGCCCAAGAGUUCAUAUCGACGGCGGUGUUUGGCACCUCGAUGUCGGCUCAUCACAUCCUGGGGCUGAAGUAGGUCCCAAGGGUAUGGCUGUUCGCCAUUUAAAGUGGUACGCGAGCUGGGUUUAGAACGUCGUGAGACAGUUCGGUCCCUAUCUGCCGUGGGCGCUGGAGAACUGAGGGGGGCUGCUCCUAGUACGAGAGGACCGGAGUGGACGCAUCACUGGUGUUCGGGUUGUCAUGCCAAUGGCACUGCCCGGUAGCUAAAUGCGGAAGAGAUAAGUGCUGAAAGCAUCUAAGCACGAAACUUGCCCCGAGAUGAGUUCUCCCUGAGACUUAGAGUCUCCUGAAGGAACGUUGAAGACGACGACGUUGAUAGGCCGGGUGUGUAAGCGCAGCGAUGCGUUGAGCUAACCGGUACUAAUGAACCGUGAGGCUUAACCUU
This 2831-nucleotide ribosomal RNA is filed under the name Salmonella enterica subsp. enterica serovar Typhimurium. RNAcentral describes it as "partial 23S ribosomal RNA". It matches the Rfam family "Bacterial large subunit ribosomal RNA". The record is from RNAcentral. Lineage: Bacteria; Pseudomonadati; Pseudomonadota; Gammaproteobacteria; Enterobacterales; Enterobacteriaceae.